This 103-nucleotide small nuclear RNA is filed under the name Chinchilla lanigera (long-tailed chinchilla). Lineage: Eukaryota; Metazoa; Chordata; Mammalia; Rodentia; Chinchillidae. The record is from RNAcentral.
AUGCUUGCUUCAGCAGCAUUUAUGCUAAAAAUUGGAACAAUACAGAGAAGAUUAGCAUGACCCCAUGUGGAAAAGAAUGCCACAAAAUUUGUAUUUUAUUUUU